GAGGAAUCUUGCGCAAUGGGGGAAACCCUGACGCAGCAACGCCGCGUGAGUGAGGAAGGUCUUCGGAUCGUAAAACUCUGUCGGAUGGAAAGAACCGCAUAGGAGUUAAUAGCUCCUGUGUCUGGCGGUACCAUCAGAGGAAGCACCGGCUAACUCCGUGCCAGCAGCCGCGGUAAUACGGGGGGUGCAAGCGUUGUUCGGAAUUAUUGGGCGUAAAGAGCGUGUAGGCGGCCGGAUAUGUCAGAUGUGAAAGCCCUGGGCUUAACCCAGGAAGUGCAUUUGAAACUGUCCGGCUCGAGUAGGGGAGAGGGAAGUGGAAUUCCUGGUGUAGAGGUGAAAUUCGUAGAUAUCAGGAGGAACACCGGUGGCGAAGGCGACUUCCUGGCCCUAUACUGACGCUGAGACGCGAGAGCGUGGGUAGCAAAC
Molecule: ribosomal RNA, 426 nt
Filed under: uncultured bacterium
Lineage: Bacteria
Description: bacterial SSU rRNA
Rfam family: Bacterial small subunit ribosomal RNA
Source: RNAcentral